This 405-nucleotide ribosomal RNA is filed under the name uncultured bacterium. RNAcentral describes it as "bacterial SSU rRNA". It matches the Rfam family "Bacterial small subunit ribosomal RNA", at positions 356 to 773 of the family's 1533-position model. The record is from RNAcentral.
UGGGAAUAUUGCACAAUGGGCGCAAGCCUGAUGCAGCGACGCCGCGUGAGGGAUGACGGCCUUCGGGUUGUAAACCUCUUUCAGCAGGGAAGAAGCGAAAGUGACGGUACCUGCAGAAGAAGCACCGGCUAACUACGUGCCAGCAGCCGCGGUAAUACGUAGGGUGCAAGCGUUGUCCGGAAUUAUUGGGCGUAAAGAGCUCGUAGGCGGUUUGUCACGUCUGCUGUGAAAUCCCGAGGCUCAACCUCGGGCCUGCAGUGGGUACGGGCAGACUAGAGUGUGGUAGGGGAGACUGGAAUUCCUGGUGUAGCGGUGGAAUGCGCAGAUAUCAGGAGGAACACCGAUGGCGAAGGCAGGUCUCUGGGCCACUACUGACGCUGAGGAGCGAAAGCAUGGGGAGCGAAC